Molecule: ribosomal RNA, 468 nt
Filed under: uncultured bacterium
Lineage: Bacteria
Description: partial 16S ribosomal RNA
Rfam family: Bacterial small subunit ribosomal RNA
Source: RNAcentral
GACGAACGCUGGCGGCGUGCUUAACACAUGCAAGUCGAACGGAAAGGCCCUGCUUUUGUGGGGUUCUCGAUUGGCGAACGGGUGAGUAACACGCGAGUAUCCUGCCCUUGACUUUGGGAUAACUUCAGGAAACUGGGGCUAAUACCGGAUAGGAGCUCCUGCUGCACGGUGGGGGUUGGAAAGUUUCGGCGGUUGUGGAUGGACUCGCGGCUUAUCAGCUUGUUGGUGGGGUAGUGGCUUACCAAGGCUUUGACGGGUAGCCGGCCUGAGAGGGUGACCGGCCACAUUGGGACUGAGAUACGGACCAGACUCCUACGGGAGGCAGCAGUGGGGAAUAUUGCACAAUGGGCGGAAGCCUGAUGCAGCAACGCCGCGUGCGGGAUGACGGCCUUCGAGUUGAAAACCGAUUUCGAAUGUGCCGAAGAGUGAGUGACGGUAAUGGGUAAAGAAGCACCGGCUAACUACGUG